GGCGGCGUGCUUAACACAUGCAAGUCGAGCGGAAAGGCCCUUCGGGGGUACUCGAGCGGCGAACGGGUGAGUAACACGUGAGUAACCUGCCCCUGACUCUGGGAUAAGCCUGGGAAACUGGGUCUAAUACCGGACAUGACCUCCUUCCGCAUGGUGGGGGGUGGAAAGUUUUUCGGCUGGGGAUGGGCUCGCGGCCUAUCAGCUUGUUGGUGGGGUGAUGGCCUACCAAGGCGACGACGGGUAGCCGGCCUGAGAGGGCGACCGGCCACACUGGGACUGAGACACGGCCCAGACUCCUACGGGAGGCAGCAGUGGGGAAUAUUGCGCAAUGGGCGGAAGCCUGACGCAGCGACGCCGCGUGGGGGAUGAAGGCCUUCGGGUUGUAAACCUCUUUCACCACCGACGAAGCUAACGUGACGGUAGGUGGGGAAGAAGCGCCGGCUAACUACGUGCCAGCAGCCGCGGUAAUACGUAGGGCGCAAGCGUUGUCCGGAAUUAUUGGGCGUAAAGAGCUCGUAGGCGGUCUGUUGCGUCUGCCGUGAAAACCCGAGGCUUAACCUCGGGCCUGCGGUGGAUACGGGCAGACUAGAGGUAGGUAGGGGAGAAUGGAAUUCCCGGUGUAGCGGUGAAAUGCGCAGAUAUCGGUAGGAACACCGGUGGCGAAGGCGGUUCUCUGGGCCUUACCUGACGCUGAGGAGCGAAAGCGUGGGGAGCGAACAGGAUUAGAUACCCUGGUAGUCCACGCCGUAAACGUUGGGCGCUAGGUGUGGGGUUCUUCCACGGAUUCCGCGCCGUAGCUAACGCAUUAAGCGCCCCGCCUGGGGAGUACGGCCGC
RNAcentral lists this ribosomal RNA (835 nucleotides) under Thermomonosporaceae str. IM-6903. RNAcentral's name for it is "bacterial SSU rRNA". It matches the Rfam family "Bacterial small subunit ribosomal RNA", at positions 38 to 889 of the family's 1533-position model. The record is from RNAcentral. Lineage: Bacteria; Bacillati; Actinomycetota; Actinomycetes; Streptosporangiales; Thermomonosporaceae.